GACGAACGCUGGCGGCGUGCCUAAUACAUGCAAGUUGAGCGCUGAAGGUUGGUACUUGUACCAACUGGAUGAGCAGCGAACGGGUGAGUAACGCGUGGGGAAUCUGCCUUUGAGCGGGGGACAACAUUUGGAAACGAAUGCUAAUACCGCAUAAAAACUUUAAACACAAGUUUUAAGUUUGAAAGAUGCAAUUGCAUCACUCAAAGAUGAUCCCGCGUUGUAUUAGCUAGUUGGUGAGGUAAAGGCUCACCAAGGCGAUGAUACAUAGCCGACCUGAGAGGGUGAUCGGCCACAUUGGGACUGAGACACGGCCCAAACUCCUACGGGAGGCAGCAGUAGGGAAUCUUCGGCAAUGGACGAAAGUCUGACCGAGCAACGCCGCGUGAGUGAAGAAGGUUUUCGGAUCGUAAAACUCUGUUGGUAGAGAAGAACGUCGGUGAGAGUGGAAAGCUCAUCAAGUGACGGUAACUACCCAGAAAGGGACGGCUAACUACGUG
This 497-nucleotide ribosomal RNA is filed under the name uncultured bacterium. RNAcentral's name for it is "partial 16S ribosomal RNA". It matches the Rfam family "Bacterial small subunit ribosomal RNA", at positions 28 to 507 of the family's 1533-position model. The record is from RNAcentral.